Molecule: long non-coding RNA, 2826 nt
Filed under: Mus musculus (house mouse)
Lineage: Eukaryota; Metazoa; Chordata; Mammalia; Rodentia; Muridae
Description: long non-coding RNA chr13:47122679-47125505
Source: RNAcentral
AAACAGCGGGGGAGCGGCUUGGCUGACGCUCGCUGCCCGGGGAGCAGGGUGCAACGGCCGCAGGCCGCUGGACUGAGCCACGGGAUGGUAGCUAGGAGAUUGGAAAGCCUUUGAUGCCAGAAGAUUCUGGCUGGAGACGCUGACAACCCAGCCCUGACCCUCCGGGAGUCUCAGGCUGUGGCUCAGACCUUAAGGUAAGGAGUAGCUCGUAGAGCUGCCCUGGAGUCGCAGGACUCGCCGUACCCUGUACGUUCCUACCUCCCCGCUACCUCCUCACCUUCUUCCUCUGCUCUUCUCCGGGGUCUUCGGCGCCAAGCUGACGCCCUGUGCUGGGUUUCUGGCCAGGGCUCCCAUGCUGCGCGUUCUGGGUUUCUGCUCCGCGGCCCGCGGCACCUUCGCCCCCUCUCCACCAUCCACCCCUCGCUUUCACGUUUUCUCCAGGACCGCACCAGGAACCCUGCACCCUGACUCUGGGUCGCUGGCGAGGGCGAGGGGUUGGUACGAGAUCGCCCACCGUCUCCAGGUCUGUGGGUACAGAUGCACAAAUUGCCCCUAAGAUCUGGAAGUUGGAAUCUGAAAUACUGCAAUUCCUAAUCUUCCAGAACAUACCCUGGCCUUGCAUUACUGCCCUAACUUUGGGAAGAGUAUCAACUCUUGAAUCCGGUCAUUGCAAUAAAUCACUUUAUCUGUGCGCCCUCACUGAACACAGUAGGUUGGGAUUCCCCAGGCACUACCCUACCCCCUUUCCCAGUUUAAACACUGGGAUAAGUUUACAGUGCUUUCAAGGCGACUGCAAUUGCUACAAGUUUAUCAGACCUUGAAGCAAUAUCUCUUAUCCCAGAGCUUGGGGAAAAAAAAAAAAAAAAAAAAAAAAACUCAGGCCCCACCCUUUAUUCUUGAUUCAGAUUUGGUGGGAGAAGGGGCGGGAGGAGAGAGAGAGGCUGUUGUUGUGUAUGUAUAUAUACUUCAUAUCUAAACGGGGGGAAAAAAAACCGCCCGGAAGUGAGAGCGAUCCUCCUCCUCCUGGAUUGUCCUCCUGAAAGUGUAAGGUCCACAUGGCAGAAAGGCCGUUCACCGAGGCUGAUGGUUUGAUGCGGUGCCAUCACUUCUGGGAUGGUGGUUAGGGGAAGGGAAGCUGAGUGCUAUUUUGAAACUCAGAUACAGGACUAGAGGAAAAUGCCAUGCUUCUAAGAGACCAGAGUUAAAACAUCAUGGUUUUUUUUUUUUGGUAAGAAUUUCCCCACAAAUACUCCUGUGAGUGGAAAGGGUGGAGGCCUAUUCUGCGGGGAAUCUGAAAAUCUUCCCCGGACUGCCCCUUGAUUUUUGUCAAUGAUGGAAUGCAGGCCUUUGGCCUGUGUACUUGUUGCUUAUUUAAAGGCAAAAAAAACAAAAACAAAAACAAAACUAAAAAUCUCAAGCAGACCAAUCUCCAGGCAACAAAAGAAGGAACGGUCAUUCAAAUUAAUGCAAAUCUUGUUUAUGCUCCCAAUUAUGUGAGCCCAGGUCUUUCACUCUGACUGGCCUCUAGACGUUAUACAUCAUAUUUAAUGAAGCUAAUUUUGUCUCCAUCCUGCCUGGUGUCACAGUUGUGCAUCUGCUAGUUUUUCUAUGCACAUCCUUAUUUGUACCUCAGCCAUUAUAAUAAGUAUCUGCAGCCAGCAGAGGGUAACAACCAGGGACAAAAGAGACUGACCUGUGUCUUCUGAAAAGUUAAGGAAACAGCUAAUUUCUUAAUAUAUUGUCACAUAGGUACACUAUUAAAACAGUGAUUUUAUUUUAUGGACCUAGAUGUGUUAAGUUUCAAGCCCAGCGGAGUGGCUGGGGUGCCUAUUUAACAUAUCAAAGCAGACCUGGCCUCCAGGUCCUCCCAGCAUCCCUCAGUCCCUACCUGUAACUGGGUAUGGCUGGCACACUCUACCCUGAGCUCUACAGCCCUGGGGCUAGGCUGCCCUGCCCCCAGAGGCUCUUCCCUACAUAAUCCAGACAUUUUGGUCACCCGCCCCCUUUUGUACCUUUGGCCUCCUGGUGGCUGUACUUGGCUCCACUCCACUCUCUCCCUUCCCCUCCCCCAACAAGAUUCAGGGUCAUGACCACUCUGGACUGCCCCAGAUGUGUCUGCCUCCGACUAUGUUCUCCUACAUAUCUAUAGUAAACUUUCUCCUCCACCAUACCUAGGAGCAGUCAUGUCUUUUCCUUUUUAUUUACUUUUUUCAUUCACUGUGAAAAAGGGCUGAUACCUGCUUUCAAGAACAUUAAGGACAAAUGGAGACUGUGAAGCCUUUUGAACAUUUGAGAAAAGACGCUGUCUAGUUAUUGAGCCAAUAUGAUUGUUUUCCUGGCAAAAUUUUUCUCCUUUCUAAAAUUAACUUUCCCUAAGGAGGAAUAGUGCAGAUGCGCAUGAUUCAGCCCAGCCAACUCCCGAGAAUCCUGUAAAGUGUAAAAGUGACCUUCCUUCAUGCCUGUGGAUCCUGGGGUGAGAUCUGAUGGCAGCACAUGCCGACAAGCCCCCCGCCUGCUGGCCUUGGCCAGGUGCCCCUUCGAUGGCAUGGGCAGAGUUACAGUAUUGCACUACAGGUUCUAUCGGUGAGGCAAAAGUAUUAUUAUUUCCCAAAGAUUUCAUGUAUGUUGUACUCACUGGAUCUGAGACUUCCAUAAUUAUAUAUGUAACACAUGGUUUUAAUAGGAACCAAAAACCACAAUAUUUUUCUCUGUGGUGGGAUAGUUAAGCAUUAGGUUUUGAUCACUUUUUCAUGGACAUUUUAAUAUGACAGAACUAAAGGCUUCCAGAAAACAAUUCUAUAAAGAUCUAUUUGGAAUUAGAAAUCC